RNAcentral lists this ribosomal RNA (498 nucleotides) under uncultured bacterium. Its description in RNAcentral is "bacterial SSU rRNA". It matches the Rfam family "Bacterial small subunit ribosomal RNA", at positions 926 to 1416 of the family's 1533-position model. The record is from RNAcentral.
CAAGCGGUGGAGCAUGUGGUUUAAUUCGAAGCAACGCGAAGAACCUUACCAGGUCUUGACAUCCCGAUGCUAUUUCUAGAGAUAGAAAGUUACUUCGGUACAUCGGUGACAGGUGGUGCAUGGUUGUCGUCAGCUCGUGUCGUGAGAUGUUGGGUUAAGUCCCGCAACGAGCGCAAACCCCUACUUGUUAGUUGUCCACUCAUUCUAGUUGGGUCGACUCUAGCGAGACUGCCGGUAAUAAACCGGAGGAAGGUGGGGAGUGACGUCAAAUACAUCAUGCCCCUUACUGACCUGGGCGUACACACGUGCUACAAUGGCGUUUAACAAAGAGAAGCGAUACCGCGAGGUGGAGCAAAACUACAAAACAACGUCUCAGUUCAGAUUGCAGGCUGCAACUCGCCUGCAUGAAGUCGGAAUUGCUAGUAAUCGCGGAUCAGCAUGCCGCGGUGAAUACGUUCCGGGCCUUGUACACACGUCGACGCGGCCGAGUCGUGGAGG